AGUGAACGCUGGCGGUAGGCCUAACACAUGCAAGUCGAACGGUAGCACAGUAAGAGCUUGCUCUUACGGGUGGCGAGUGGCGGACGGGUGAGGAAUGCAUCGGAAUCUACUUUUUCGUGGGGGAUAACGUAGGGAAACUUACGCUAAUACCGCAUACGACCUACGGGUGAAAGCAGGGGAUCUUCGGACCUUGCGCGAUUGAAUGAGCCGAUGUCGGAUUAGCUAGUUGGCGGGGUAAAGGCCCACCAAGGCGACGAUCCGUAGCUGGUCUGAGAGGAUGAUCAGCCACACUGGAACUGAGACACGGUCCAGACUCCUACGGGAGGCAGCAGUGGGGAAUAUUGGACAAUGGGCGCAAGCCUGAUCCAGCCAUACCGCGUGGGUGAAGAAGGCCUUCGGGUUGUAAAGCCCUUUUGUUGGGAAAGAAAAGCAGCAGGUUAAUACCCCGCUGUUCUGACGGUACCCAAAGAAUAAGCACCGGCUAACUUCGUG
RNAcentral lists this ribosomal RNA (492 nucleotides) under uncultured bacterium. RNAcentral describes it as "partial 16S ribosomal RNA". It matches the Rfam family "Bacterial small subunit ribosomal RNA", at positions 29 to 507 of the family's 1533-position model. The record is from RNAcentral.